CCAGCAUGAGUGGGAGCUGGUGCGUAUUUUGACGAUGUUGUAUAUCAGUUGAAUGUCAUUUUUUCUUUGCUCCAGUGUUGUUGGAGAAGACUGUCCGCGGGGGCGGUUUGCGUGCGUCCGUUGGGCGGCUCGUAUAGGGGAGCACUGCACCGAUAUGUUGAUGGAGAACGGACCAUGGGGAUGGCGGCUUACGCGCGAC
This 199-nucleotide long non-coding RNA is filed under the name Hordeum vulgare. Its description in RNAcentral is "long non-coding RNA (HVUL_LNC009890)". The record is from RNAcentral. Lineage: Eukaryota; Viridiplantae; Streptophyta; Magnoliopsida; Poales; Poaceae.